GCGCAUUCCGCUGGCGGCUUCCACGCACCUGCAGGGAGGACCAGGCUUGCUUUUACUCAGGUCGCAUGAGGAGGCGAUGCGGGCGCAACGUCGGGCCGCGUGACGGAAAAGUGAGGAAAGACUGAUAAUCUAUUGGAAAAAACCCUAUAAAAUUAGUUUCCCGGGGGACCAAGGGUUGGACCUCUCCGAUAGGGAUGCUCGCCAGACACAGCUGAAGCCAAGACGUUGUCUCGGUUCCCCAGCACUUUGGAAACACUCUUCAGGUGAUGCCAAAACUAAGAAGGAUACUCUUGAAUGUCAGCACAAUCGAACCGCUGACCAAUUGACAAACAUAGCCACCACCUCGCAAGAUCAUGAGGAAGCUGCACUGGCAAAAUGGGUCUAUUACCAAACUGGACACCUAGGGCCGCAAGCUAUGCACAGGCUGAAGUGAUUGUCAAAGGAAGUAAUAAUACUUUUGCAGUAAUGUUUCCUGGUCAAGAAAAAAUUGAAAUUCUGCCCACUAAUUUAAAUGUUUCUUUGGGAAUAAACAAUGGUCUUGGAAGUGGACGGCCCUAACCUUGUUAACUCUGACUUGGAUGACACCAGUGGACUCCGGACCCAUUUCCUUCCAACGUGAUGAAAACAUCUGGACCUACCUAACCAAAUGUGUGAUGAAUGUCUCUGAUUUCUGCUUGACCGGAGGGACAUACGUUAAACAAACUUUAUCUUAUUUGAUAGGAGUGUGCCUCCCCAAUGGGACUCAAGCUAUGAAUUUGACCAACGGUCCUUUACUGAAAAAAAAGUAUAUUAAUGUAAACCAAUUAGGCCAUCCUUAUCCCUAUAAGACAUCUGAUAUGUUCUCUAUCUGGGUUUGAAAUGUAACUUCACCUUCCCAAAGGUUUUAAACGAAUUAAGGAUAUAUCUCGUUUUGAUUGUAACAUUAUUGUUAUGGGAGGUCAAGUAACUUCUUAUGUAAAAUUACAUUCUGGAUGGUUUUUAAUCUGUGGCCGGAUGGCCUAUUCUUAUAUAUCUGCUAAUAUAACGGGGGGACCCUGCACAAUAGGGUCAUUUACUGUAUUCAUUCCUCAAAAGAGUCACAUAAACAUGACAACCCCUGUAAUUAGAAAAAGGCAUGGCCUAUCCCCAAAUUGUGUAUCUGAUCUGUCCUUAUUUAGCCCUGCCAAAUAUGUUUCCCUUAGUUUGUUUGUUCUCCCAGCCAUAUCCAUCGCUUAAAUGUUGAGAUAAGUCAUUUAGCAUGUAGCAUGGUUAAGGCUAUUAUUAAUGCCACCUCUAAAGCUAUUUCAGAAAUUAAUCAAAAAUUAAGUAGAGUUAGAAAAACAGUAUUAGAAAAUAGGGCUGCUCUUGAUUAUCUCCUGCUGCGACAUAAUCAUGGAUGUGAAGAGUUUAAGGAAAUGUGCUGUUUUAAUCUAUCUGAUAACUCCCGGCUAAUUGAAGGACAUCUCAAGGACCUUCGUGUUUUGUGCAAACGGAUUAUGCAGAGAGAGGGCUUCUUUGGCUUGGAUUUGUCUGCUGUCACAAAUUGGAUUAGAUCUUGCUGGCCAAUUUUUAAAAAAUAGACAUAUUUGAUUAUUGCUCUUAUUGCUAUGGUGUUAUGCACCUGCUGCUGUGUUCAAUAAUGCCCAUUGUGUGCUCAAGCAUGUCGCCUAUGUUAGCCUCACCACCAACAACCGUAUGAAAUAUACACCAAGAAGAGGUCCCCAAGGGUGAAGGGCCGAAUGUAAAGAAAAUAUAAUGUGAUUUAGGUGCCCCUUUGUGCGUCAAGGGAAUGCUUUGUCUGGGUGGCACCCGGACAUUGGCUCCCAUCAGCAGGAGAAAACUCGGAAAGGCCUCGCCAGCCUUGCUGGUUGACUAAUAGCUGACCCGCCGGUGGAACACAUGAAUAGGAUCACAUAGGUUGCCCCAUUGCUAUAGCAGCCUCAUGUACCUUGUAAAAUUGUCGAAACUGUGUCCCCUGCCUUCUGCCCUAAUUACCCUGAAACUUGCGAUUCAUUGUUCCCAUGCUUGCUGAUUGUAAUCGUUAUGGCCUAACAUUCUUUCCAGACUGGUAAUCUGUUGGAAAAAACCCUAUGAAAUUCGUUUCCUAGGUGAGCCCUAGUUGGAACUCUCUCAAAGGGACUCUCGCUGGACACACCUGAAGCCAAGACGCUGUCUCGGUUCCCCAGCGCCUUGGAAACACUCUUCAGGUGGUGAGAACUCGCAGUUACUCUUUGCCUUGCUUUGCUUUAUUCUGUCUAUCUUACUUAUUGCCUCACUUAAUAAAUAGUGUUUUGCUUCCUCAACUCUGUCUCAGUGUGCACGGUGAAUAUG
Long non-coding RNA from Rhinolophus ferrumequinum (greater horseshoe bat), 2310 nucleotides. RefSeq lists it as uncharacterized. The transcript is spliced from 4 exons. The record is from RefSeq and is a predicted model, not a curated record. Lineage: Eukaryota; Metazoa; Chordata; Mammalia; Chiroptera; Rhinolophidae.